Molecule: ribosomal RNA, 270 nt
Filed under: uncultured archaeon
Lineage: Archaea
Description: partial 16S ribosomal RNA
Rfam family: Archaeal small subunit ribosomal RNA
Source: RNAcentral
CAGCACCUCAAGUGGUCAGGAUGAUUAUUGGGCCUAAAGCAUCCGUAGCCGGCGCUGUAAGUUUUCGGUUAAAUCUGUACGCUCAACGUACAGGCUGCCGGGAAUACUGCAGCGCUAGGGAGUGGGAGAGGUAGACGGUACUCGGUAGGAAGGGGUAAAAUCCUUUGAUCUAUUGAUGACCACCUGUGGCGAAGGCGGUCUACCAGAACACGUCCGACGGUGAGGGACGAAAGCUAGGGGAGCAAACCGGAUUAGAUACCCGAGUAGUCC